UUUCCGUAGGUGAACCUGCGGAAGGAUCAUUCAUAAUAAAGUGUUUUAUGGCACUUUUUAAAAAAUCCAUAUCCACCUUGUGUGCAAUGUUAGAUCUCGUCAAUCUUGGCGAGAUUUUUAUACAUCAACUCAUUCUUUAACUAAUUUGUCUGAAAAAUAUUAUGAAUACUUAAUUCAAAAUACAACUUUCAACAACGGAUCUCUUGGCUCUC
RNAcentral lists this unclassified non-coding RNA (212 nucleotides) under plant metagenome. Its description in RNAcentral is "partial contains small subunit ribosomal RNA, internal transcribed spacer 1, and 5.8S ribosomal RNA". The record is from RNAcentral.